UAAUCUCGACCCUUGAUGAGGGGGGGAGAGAUUGGCGCAGUUUUUGCGAAUAUUCCAGUCUCGAGAAAAAAGACGGUUCAGAACCUAUCAAGCAAGAGGCGUUUGUGUCGCGUCAGAUGUGGACAACAGUCCAGUAACAGACGGUUGAUGACGAGAAAUCCUUCUAAUAACGAUAUGGCAUCUAAAAUCAAACAAAUAUGGAGGAUAACAAGCUUCUAUAAAGAGCAAAGAGAAAUUCAAAGUUAAAGAAGAGAUCCUUUUUGGAAGAAUAUUUGACAAAAGAUUUAUAUUUCAUAUUUAUGAACUAUUUUAUCUUAUUCAUCAAGGUUUUUCUAACGGAACUUGAAUAAGACAUUUUAAAGACAUUUCAUGAAGAAACAUUAAUCGGAAGGAACAUUAUCUAUCUACUAUAGAUAAACAAUUUAGGACUGAAACAUUUGUCCACAUAUACAUAUACAUUUUUUGAUUAUCCAAUUAUUAUGAUAUUAAUGUUCACAUGAAGUUA
This is a long non-coding RNA of Rana temporaria (common frog), 505 nucleotides long. RefSeq lists it as uncharacterized. NCBI's taxonomy places the organism in Eukaryota, Metazoa, Chordata, Amphibia, Anura, Ranidae. The record is from RefSeq and is a predicted model, not a curated record. The transcript is spliced from 2 exons.